AGAGUUUGAUCAUGGCUCAGAAUCAACGCUGGCGGCGUGCCUAACACAUGCAAGUCGAACGCGAAGACCCCGCAAGGGGUUGGUAGCGUGGCAAACGGGUGAGUAACGCGUGGGCGACCUGCCUUCGAGUGGGGGAUAACCUUCCGAAAGGAGGGCUAAUACCGCAUGACAUCCCGUGUUUGGAUACACGGAGAUCAAAGCCGGGGAUCGCAAGACCUGGCGCUUGAAGAGGGGCCCGCGUCCGAUUAGCUAGUUGGCGAGGUAAUGGCUCACCAAGGCUCCGAUCGGUACCCGGCCUGAGAGGGCGGACGGACACACUGGAACUGAGACACGGUCCAGACUCCUACGGGAGGCAGCAGUGGGGAAUUGUUCGCAAUGGGCGCAAGCCUGACGACGCAACGCCGCGUGGAGGAUGAAGACCUUCGGGUCGUAAACUCCUUUCGACCGAGAUGAAGAGGUGCCAACCUAACACGUCGGCAUCCUGACAGUAUCGAGGGAAGCAGCCCCGGCUAACUCCGUGCCAGCAGCCGCGGUAAUACGGGGGGGGCAAGCGUUGUUCGGAAUUACUGGGCGUAAAGGGUUUGUAGGUGGCCGGCUAAGUCCGACGUGAAAUCCCUCAGCUUAACUGGGGAACUGCGUCGGAGACUGGUCGGCUUGAGGGUCGGAGAGGAACGCGGAAUUCCAGGUGUAGCGGUGAAAUGCGUAGAUAUCUGGAGGAACACCGGUGGCGAAGGCGGCGUUCUGGACGGCUACUGACACUGAAAAACGAAAGCCAGGGGAGCAAACGGGAUUAGAUACCCCCGUAGUCC
This 809-nucleotide ribosomal RNA is filed under the name uncultured bacterium. RNAcentral's name for it is "bacterial SSU rRNA". It matches the Rfam family "Bacterial small subunit ribosomal RNA", at positions 8 to 796 of the family's 1533-position model. The record is from RNAcentral.